This 687-nucleotide ribosomal RNA is filed under the name uncultured Actinomycetes bacterium. Its description in RNAcentral is "bacterial SSU rRNA". It matches the Rfam family "Bacterial small subunit ribosomal RNA", at positions 1 to 663 of the family's 1533-position model. The record is from RNAcentral. Lineage: Bacteria; Bacillati; Actinomycetota; Actinomycetes.
UCUUCUCGAAUUCGAUUAGAGAUAAAUCCUGGCUCAGGACGAUCUCUGCCGGUGUGCUUAACAGAAGCAAGUGGUGCGACGAACCAGGCUUCGGCCUGGGGCAAAGCCGCGAACGGGUGAGUAUCAUGUGGGUCAUCUGCCCCGAUGACCGGGACAACUCGAGGAAACUCGAGCUAAUACCGGAUGUGGUGCGCGGACAUAAGUCCGCUCACUAAAGGUAGCUUCGGCUUCCGCAUUGGGAGGGGCCCGCGGCCCAUUAGCUUGUUGGUGGGGUCAAGGCCUACCAAGGCAACGAUGGGUAGCUGGUCUGAGAGGACGAUCAGCCACACUGGGACUGAGACACGGCCCAGACUCCUACGGGAGGCAGCAGUGGGGAAUCUUGCGCAAUGCGCGAAAGCGUGACGCAGCAACACCGCGUGAGGGAAGACGGGCCUUAGGGUUGUAAACCUCUUUCAGAUGGGACGAAGGUCAUCCCGGUGAAUAGCCGAGGUGAUUGACGGUACCGUCAGAAGAAGCUCCGGCUAACUACGUGCCAGCAGCCGCGGUAAUACGUUGGAGCGAGCGUUGUCCGGAAUCAUUGGGGCGUAAAGAGCGCGUAGGCGGUCAUCCAGUCUGCUGUGAAAGUCAAAGGCUCAACCUUUGAAAGCUGGCGGAUACUGAUGAUCUAGAGGUCGGGAAGAGCGAGUG